RNAcentral lists this ribosomal RNA (253 nucleotides) under uncultured bacterium. RNAcentral's name for it is "partial 16S ribosomal RNA". It matches the Rfam family "Bacterial small subunit ribosomal RNA", at positions 524 to 776 of the family's 1533-position model. The record is from RNAcentral.
UACGGAGGGUGCAAGCGUUAUCCGGAUUCACUGGGUUUAAAGGGUGUGUAGGCGGGCUGUUAAGUCAGUGGUGAAAUCUCCGGGCUCAACCCGGGAACUGCCAUUGAUACUAUCAGUCUUGAAUCUUGUUGAGGUAGGCGGAAUAUAUCAUGUAGCGGUGAAAUGCUUAGAUAUGAUAUAGAACACCGAUUGCGAAGGCAGCUUACUAAACAAGCAUUGACGCUGAGGCACGAAAGCGUGGGGAUCAAACAGG